UACGUAGGGGGCAAGCGUUGUCCGGAUUUAUUGGGCGUAAAGAGCGUGUAGGCGGCCAGGUAGGUCAGCUGUGAAAACUCGAGGCUCAACCUCGAGACGCCGGUUGAAACCAUCUGGCUAGAGUCCGGAAGAGGAGAGUGGAAUUCCUGGUGUAGCGGUGAAAUGCGCAGAUAUCAGGAGGAACACCGGUGGCGAAGGCGGGUCUCUGGGCCGAUACUGACACUGAGAAGCGAAAGCGUGGGGAGCGAACAGG
Molecule: ribosomal RNA, 253 nt
Filed under: uncultured bacterium
Lineage: Bacteria
Description: partial 16S ribosomal RNA
Rfam family: Bacterial small subunit ribosomal RNA
Source: RNAcentral